This 1659-nucleotide long non-coding RNA is filed under the name Populus trichocarpa (black cottonwood). RNAcentral describes it as "long non-coding RNA (PTRI_LNC002516)". Lineage: Eukaryota; Viridiplantae; Streptophyta; Magnoliopsida; Malpighiales; Salicaceae. The record is from RNAcentral.
GUAGUCUUUAGUCCUUACUGUUUACUACAAAAAAUAAUUGAGAAGCCAAGUCAGAAAUAAAAUUGGGGACAUAUAUAUAUAUAUAUAUAUAUAUAUAUAUAUAUAUAUUUAUUUAUUUAUUUCGAAGAUAGAUCAUGGAAGGGAAGUGGAAAACGAGUGGAAGGAGAAGGCAGGGUACUGUACAAAAGCUGUUGGGUAGGCUGUCAUUUUGUUCUUUCCAAUUUUAGAGACACCAUAUAAAACAUUCUCAUGGAUUUUAGAAAUGGGCCAGUGUUGAAAAGCGUCAGAAUCACUUCACUCGUGAGCUCGAUACAGUUUUACAUGUCGGGGGAGGCCUGUGAUUGUGACGUGAUGUCUUGAAUAGUGUGCCUGCCUGCCUGCCUUUAAGCUUGAUUUGAACACACCCACAUAUAAUCUAUAACCUACCAUCCAAAAUUUGCACAUUUUUUUCAUCAUAUCAUAUCAGAAAGAUCUCAGUGGAUGUGGAUAAAGGAGCUAGCUCGCCAAAUUGUACAUACAUCGUUCUCUUUUUUAACAGUUCCUACUCUCGAUCAGAUGCUGUCUAAAGCUAAGCUAAGAAAAUCUCCUUCUAUCUUCCAAGAAAUAAUAUUUUUGGGUCCAAACCUCGGGCAUGCAGUAGGAUAUGCAAGAUCUUUUCUAUCUGAGGUAAGAAAUUACAAGUAAUCCCUUUAAAGCAACGACGAUUGAGGAUCGAAUAUGCUCUGUCUUUUCUUUUUUUCUGUUUUUCUUUUUCUGAAUGGGAUCACUGAUCAAGUUCUCAGCCAGCAAAAGUGACAGUGUAUACUUUUUAUAGAUGUCAAAUCGACUCCAAAACAGUGGUAAAAUGCCAGUUGACGGCUAUUUGAAUUACUAGAUGUAAAUAAAUAACAGAUAAGUGUGCUGAUGAUCAAAACGUUUGCGUUGCCACUUUGAGAGUGAUUAGUUGGCAAUAAAUAAAUCACAGAAACAUUGCUUGCAGACAAAUAAAGCAAAUUGUAAGUGAUUGAUCUUCCAAUGAAAGAAGUCAUCACUGGAUUAGUUUUUUCAUUUUUUUGUUGAACUCCUUCGUGUAAUUAUAGACAGGCAGGUACAAUUUUACCUUCUGAAACAAACUUGAAACAAACUUUGAAGUUGUUCUUACAUCUACCCUUGGUAGCAGCAAAUUCUUCAAGCUGUAAAAAUCCACACUAUAAAAGUAAUUAAGUAGAGAAUUGUACCUGGAACUUUAAGAUUCUUUAGACAUCUACCCUUUAUAGCAACAGAUUCUUUAAAUUGACUAAGCUGUACAAAUCCACGCUAUCAAAGUAAUUAAGCCGGAGUCAAUUGCCAUGGCCAUUUCUUUAACCUUAGCAGUAAGAGUAUAGGUCGACCUCGAGUGGCAAAAUGAGGACGAAAAGCUGGUAGACAGAGAGCUGAUAUAUCAACGUCAGUCCCAUUGAACUUUGGAUCCGUGUUACUUGGUGCGUUUUUCUUCUUGGACAGUAGAAUCAUAAAUGGAUACUCUCAGCACUCAGCAGAGUUUGAGCUGUAGCAGAAAAUAUAAACUUUGCGAGCUCAACAAUAACAAACCAUAGCCCACAAAACAUGUGCUUUUUAAUUAGAAUAGCAGAUAAACAUGGCUCAGUUCAGGUCAGGCCAGGCACUCUUUAAAAAAUAAAG